UAAACUAGGCAUUAGAUACCCUAUUAUUCUAAAUUAAAAUAAAAUAUAUUAAAUAUUAAAUGUAAAACAUUAAAUUUAAAUAAUUUGGCGGUAUUUUAGAAAGUUAGAGGAAUCUGUUAAGUAAAUGAUAUUCCACGAUAGGGAUGUCCUAAUAUAUUUUUAUAUAUUGUUGUAUUAAUAUUAAUUUAAAAGAAUUUAAUAGAGAUUCAUUAUAUUGGAUUAAUUCAAAUCAAAAUGUAGAAUUGUUAGGUUUAAAUGGGUUACAAUUUAUAAAAUAAAUUGGAAUUUAAUUUUUAAUUAAUUAAAUAAAAGUGGAUUUAAUAGUAAAUUUAUAAAAUUUUAUAAUUUGAAUUAAAUAUAAAAUAUGUACAAAUUGCCGUUCAUUUUCAAUA
RNAcentral lists this ribosomal RNA (392 nucleotides) under Crematogaster modiglianii. RNAcentral describes it as "partial 12S ribosomal RNA". The record is from RNAcentral. Lineage: Eukaryota; Metazoa; Arthropoda; Insecta; Hymenoptera; Formicidae.